This 291-nucleotide long non-coding RNA is filed under the name Sus scrofa (pig). Its description in RNAcentral is "lncRNA (ENSSSCG00060032250.1)". Lineage: Eukaryota; Metazoa; Chordata; Mammalia; Artiodactyla; Suidae. The record is from RNAcentral.
UAUUGGAGUCAAGAUUAUCAAAUGUAUAUUCUCAUUAGAGAAAAUCUAACAAAAUCACUCAAUUCAUAAUACAGCAACCUCCAGACCUGAAUGAGUUUGAUGAGAAAGCAUGGGAAGAAAUGCCAGGAGAAAACAGCAAAAUGCGAUAAGCUUUCAAUUGGCCUGGAAGGACACUGUGGCCCUGGGACAGAUGGACAGCCAUUCUUUCUGGUCUACGUUGCUGACACUGUCGGUCUGACAUUGGAGCUGUUCUGUCAACUGUGGAUUCUGCUGCCUGCAGUUUCCGAGUAG